AUUGAACGCUGGCGGCAUGCUUUACACAUGCAAGUCGAACGGUAACAGGCCGCACGGUGCUGACGAGUGGCAGACGGGUGAGUAAUACUUAGACACGUGCCCCGUCGUUGUGAGUAACUAAUCGAAAGAGUAGCUCAUACCGCAUACGGUCUAUGAUUGAGAGCGGGGUACCUCAAGAGCUCAAGAGGUUCGUGCGGCCGAUGUUAGAUUAGGUAGUUGGUGGGGUAAAGGCUCACCAAGCCAACGAUCUGUAGGUGGUCUGAGAGGACGACCAGCCACACUGGGACUGAGACACGGCCCAGACUCCCACGGGAGGCAGCAGUGGGGAAUUUUGGACAAUGGGCGCAAGCCUGAUCCAGCAAUGCCGCGUGAAGGAAGAAGGCCUUCGGGUUGUAAACUGCUUUUGUACGGAACGAAACGGCUCUGGUUAAUACCCGGGGAUAAUGACGGUACCGAAAGAAUAAGCACCGGCUAACUACGUG
Molecule: ribosomal RNA, 482 nt
Filed under: uncultured bacterium
Lineage: Bacteria
Description: partial 16S ribosomal RNA
Rfam family: Bacterial small subunit ribosomal RNA
Source: RNAcentral